This is a long non-coding RNA of Oncorhynchus keta (chum salmon), 302 nucleotides long. RefSeq lists it as uncharacterized. NCBI's taxonomy places the organism in Eukaryota, Metazoa, Chordata, Actinopteri, Salmoniformes, Salmonidae. The transcript has 4 exons. The record is from RefSeq and is a predicted model, not a curated record.
CUCUGUUUAAUAUUGUGGAUGAUGUUCUGUUAGGUCAGGGCCCCUCUGUUAGGUCAGGGCCCCUCGUCUUCUGUUUAAUAUUGUGGAUGAUGUUCUGUUAGGUCAGGGCUCCUCGUCUUCUGUUUAAUAUUGUGGAUGAUGUUCUGUUAGGUCAGGGCUCCUCGUCUUCUGUUUAAUAUUGUGGAUGAUGUUCUGUUAGGUCAGGGCUCCUCGUCUUCUGUUUAAUAUUGUGGAUGAUGUUCUGUUAGGUCAGGGCUCCUCGUCUUCUGUUUAAUAUUGUGGAUGAUGUUCUGUUAGGUCAG